UCUGGAUCAUCUCAGGCACUGCUCUCCUUUGUCAUUCAAUAUAUUUUGUCUGAACUGCCAUGAAGGCACAUUCAGUUGGUCUAUUCAAAUUAUAAGUAAAUCAGGAAUGAUGUUCCUGAUAAGAUAACUGUAAAAUAAUACUAUUUAACGUCCAUCCCUCAUACUACCUGACAAACUACCCAUGUACUAACCUCACUAUUUGAUCAUCAACCAAGGUAAAGCCCUCUUUCUUUUAUGGCUUCUGUGUUUAAUUCGGUUCUGAGUUAUUAAUAUUAAGGACUUUUGCAUACUUUCUGAGACAUACUUUAAGUCUAAAGUUAUGGAUUAUUUUAUUAUAGCUUAACAUUAAAUCAAGAAGAGAAAAAAAAAUUUAAAUAACUGAAAAAAAACAUUUCUAAUGCAGUGGCAAUCAUUUGUUGCACAGUUCCAAAGCAAAGCAUAUAGCAAACAUGCCUUAAUGUGUUGCUUUUUCAAAGGAGCUUGUAAAAAUGAAGAGCUUGAACAAGUUUGUUUUGAUCAUUCUGCUUCUCCAACCGUGUCUUGCUGUGCCUGAGCAGGUUCCAGUAGAAAAUCUUGUGUUUGGAGACAUGCUUACAUUUCCAUGUUAUGGAACUCUCUAUGAGCACUAUGCUGUAUAUGUUGAUAAUGUGCCAAUACAAGGAAAGGAAGAAGGACAAAACAUUUUUGAGAUGACAAGAAAUCCAUCUGGCUGCCGAUUUAAUACAGUGACAGGAAUCGUUAAUAGAAAAAACUAUUUAGACAAUCUUCAAAACAGAGAUAAUAUUUAAACACAACCAGAAAUGAUAAACUCCAUUAUACAACUAAUGAAUGGAGGAUGUGGAACAUGGUCACUUGGAAACAACUGUGAACACAUUGCCACACUUGUUCGACAUGGCGAAGUUCAAUCACAGUGCAAUCAGGUAUGCCAUAAAGUAGGCUAAAUGUAAAAUCA
Molecule: long non-coding RNA, 952 nt
Organism: Cyprinus carpio (common carp)
Lineage: Eukaryota; Metazoa; Chordata; Actinopteri; Cypriniformes; Cyprinidae
Source: Ensembl